Molecule: long non-coding RNA, 1832 nt
Filed under: Citrus x clementina
Lineage: Eukaryota; Viridiplantae; Streptophyta; Magnoliopsida; Sapindales; Rutaceae
Description: Citrus clementina (C. clementina) long non-coding RNA (CCLE_LNC000294)
Source: RNAcentral
AAGAAUAACUAAACUUAAAUAGAACAUAAAUUUCUCUAAUGAAAUCGUGAAAUACAAAUUAAUCAUCUCCCACUCACUCCUUGGCCAAUUUUGUUGUUAUCCAAAUAAAACAAUUUAAUUCCCUCCCACUCUCUCCCUAGCCAAUUCACUUUAAUUGAUUUUGUAUUAAAAAACAACCCAUCUUUAUCUUUUGUAAUCCUUUCCAAUUUGUACGUGUGUUUGUGAAUGAUGAUAACAGAACAAAAACCCACGACUAUGGAGGCAACACUGUAACCUCACCUUAGCCGCUGCACAAGCCACUAGAAUCACGCCCUUUUCCGCCGCUCAAAAGCACGCCACCCUCACCGGUUCACUCACACAUGCUAAAAUGAGCCACUCAACAAAAUUCACUCUCAUCUCUCGUUCUACUUCGAAAUUGUGAGUAUAUAUAAACUCAGCCAAUUUAAUUUUGAUUAGUUUAGUUGUGAUUGGAUUAUAUGAAAUUCAUAUUUUUGUGUUUGGUAAAAUUAGGGAUUGAAACUCUUAAAUCGAUUAUUUGAAUAUUUUUAUGCUUAUCAAGUGCUUGAUAAAAUUCCUAAGAGAAUCUAGUAAAAGAAAAACAUAAAAUACAUGCAAAUAAAUGAAGGAAUUUGAAGCAAUGUUUGCUCACUUCAUCUUAGUAUGUAAUUAAUCAUCUUUCUUUAUUUUUUUAAAGAAAAUUAUAGCUAGUAUUAAUAUAAUAAAAAGAGUUAGUAAAUUAUUCAAGUCCAGCCGACAUAAUAAUAAGUUAAGCUACAAAAUUUUAAAUAUAAAAGAUUCGGUAGCUUUGAUGUGUUGUUUAGAAGGAUGAUUUUGAAGCUUGGUUUGCUAAAGUAGUAAAGUUUGCUCAAAAUAUCGUUGGAUUUGCUCGGAAGUGUAGAUGAAGUGACUAAAUAAAGUUUACCACCCCCCCCCCCCCCAACCCCCCCAGUGGUUGUUGUAUGUUUAGUCAAAAUUAAUAUACUUAUCUUCCUUUAUGGUUCAAGUAGUCUCUAUACAAAAUCUAAAUGUGUACGCUGUUUUAUUUUUCCUUUUUUACUUAAUCUUUUAUUUCUUCCAACUUUAUAUUUAUUGUACUGUAAACAUCGAUUCAUUGACUGCUUAAUAAUUUAAUUUAAUUCAAGUUUGAUGCCAAAUGUUUAAUAGAUUAACUUCAAAGCUUUGGAUGCAAAAUUUGUGUAAGUGCAUCGAGGUUGAUUAUGUGCUUGUAAUCUUUUGAUUAUAUUGUUAAUUUGAAGUAAUAAUGAAAGCAAGUAUGUGCUUGUAAUCUCUUUUCUUUCAUUUAGAAUUUUUUCCAUCUUUUUAAUGGAUGAAAGAAUUGAUUGCGGAUAUGUUUUAUUAAGAAAUUUAAUUGAUUUUGCAUUCUUACCUCAAUAUUUUUAUUUAUACCUAUUUGGCUUGCCAUAUACUAUUCUUUUAUGCAUUGGCAAUAAGAUUUUCUUUAUUGGAUUACUCUUCGACAUCAAUUAAGUGUUUUCUCAAGUUUAUUUUAUUGUUAAUAUUAUUUUUUUAAUCAUGUAGUACCAAAUAUAGAUAUAGAAAAAUGAUGUACCAAUAAUAGAUGAUCAAAUUGUGAAAUACUUUUGGGACAAAUCUUUAAUUUUAUGAAGAUUGAAAAUGACAGAUACCUUUCAAAGUCAUCAUCUACUAUAGUAUUGUCUCAGCAAAAAAGGAUCAAAAAUUAAAAUCGAGGAAGAAGAUAGCAAAUUUAAGGAAGUUGAAGCAUUUAUAAAACAACAACAUGUUGUUUACUUAAUUCUACUUUUGUGUAACGUUACUUUUAUUUCUCUUCUACAAUGUAAUCUUAUUUUUAG